UGCAAGUCGAACGCUUCUUUUUCCACCGGAGCUUGCUCCACCGGAAAAAGAGGAGUGGCGAACGGGUGAGUAACACGUGGGUAACCUGCCCAUCAGAAGGGGAUAACACUUGGAAACAGGUGCUAAUACCGUAUAACAAUCGAAACCGCAUGGUUUUGAUUUGAAAGGCGCUUUCGGGUGUCGCUGAUGGAUGGACCCGCGGUGCAUUAGCUAGUUGGUGAGGUAACGGCUCACCAAGGCGACGAUGCAUAGCCGACCUGAGAGGGUGAUCGGCCACAUUGGGACUGAGACACGGCCCAAACUCCUACGGGAGGCAGCAGUAGGGAAUCUUCGGCAAUGGACGAAAGUCUGACCGAGCAACGCCGCGUGAGUGAAGAAGGUUUUCGGAUCGUAAAACUCUGUUGUUAGAGAAGAACAAGGAUGAGAGUAACUGUUCAUCCCUUGACGGUAUCUAACCAGAAAGCCACGGCUAACUACGUGCCAGCAC
RNAcentral lists this ribosomal RNA (487 nucleotides) under Enterococcus hirae. RNAcentral describes it as "bacterial SSU rRNA". It matches the Rfam family "Bacterial small subunit ribosomal RNA", at positions 56 to 514 of the family's 1533-position model. The record is from RNAcentral. Lineage: Bacteria; Bacillati; Bacillota; Bacilli; Lactobacillales; Enterococcaceae.